This 441-nucleotide ribosomal RNA is filed under the name uncultured bacterium. RNAcentral's name for it is "partial 16S ribosomal RNA". It matches the Rfam family "Bacterial small subunit ribosomal RNA", at positions 338 to 795 of the family's 1533-position model. The record is from RNAcentral.
CCUACGGGAGGCAGCAGUGGGGAAUAUUGCACAAUGGGGGGAACCCUGAUGCAGCGACGCCGCGUGGGUGAAGGAGUAUUUCGGUAUGUAAAGCCCUAUCAGCAGGGAAGAACAAUGACGGUACCUGACUAAGAAGCACCGGCUAAAUACGUGCCAGCAGCCGCGGUAAUACGUAUGGGGCAAGCGUUAUCCGGAUUUACUGGGUGUAAAGGGAGCGCAGGCGGCGCGUUAAGCCUGGUGUGAAAGUCCGCGGCCCAACCGCGGGACUGCAUUGGGAACUGGCGGGCUGGAGUGACGGAGGGGUAGGCGGAAUGCCUAGUGUAGCGGUGAAAUGCGUAGAUAUUAGGAGGAACACCAGUGGCGAAGGCGGCCUACUGGACGGUGACUGACGCUGAGGCUCGAAAGCGUGGGGAGCAAACAGGAUUAGAUACCCGAGUAGUC